AGAGCGAACGCUGGCGGCAGGCUUAACACAUGCAAGUCGAGCGGGCGUAGCAAUACGUCAGCGGCAGACGGGUGAGUAACGCGUGGGAACGUACCUUUGGUUCGGAACGAACCCAGGGAAACUUGGGCUAAUACCGGAUAAGCCCUUACGGGGAAAGAUUUAUCGCCGAAAGAUCGGCCCGCGUCUGAUUAGCUAGUUGGUGAGGUAAUGGCUCACCAAGGCGACGAUCAGUAGCU
This 236-nucleotide ribosomal RNA is filed under the name uncultured bacterium. Its description in RNAcentral is "partial small subunit ribosomal RNA". It matches the Rfam family "Bacterial small subunit ribosomal RNA", at positions 26 to 288 of the family's 1533-position model. The record is from RNAcentral.